ACAGUACAAACUGAGCAGGUGGUGAAGUAAUGUUUUCACGAACCGGGCCAAGAGGCAGCAGAUAUUAACAUCUGUGGGACAGU
Molecule: non-coding RNA, 83 nt
Filed under: pig gut metagenome
Description: NiCo riboswitch
Rfam family: NiCo (Nickel/Cobalt) riboswitch aptamer
Source: RNAcentral